GACAGAGGGUGCAAGCGUUGUUCGGAAUCAUUGGGCGUAAAGCGCGCGUAGGCGGUUUGGUGUGUCGGAUGUGAAAGCCCACGGCUCAACCGUGGAAGUGCAUCCGAAACUACCUGACUUGAGUCCCGGAGAGGGUGGCGGAAUUCCUGGUGUAGAGGUGAAAUUCGUAGAUAUCAGGAGGAACAUCCGUGGCGAAGGCGGCCACCUGGACGGAGACUGACGCUGAGGUGCGAAAGCGUGGGGAGCAAACAGG
RNAcentral lists this unclassified non-coding RNA (253 nucleotides) under uncultured Myxococcales bacterium. RNAcentral describes it as "contains 16S-23S intergenic spacer region". It matches the Rfam family "Bacterial small subunit ribosomal RNA", at positions 524 to 776 of the family's 1533-position model. Lineage: Bacteria; Pseudomonadati; Myxococcota; Myxococcia; Myxococcales. The record is from RNAcentral.